ACGCGAAAGCCCCGCAAGGGGUUAGUAGAGUGGCAAACGGGUGAGUAACACGUGGGUGAUCUGCCUCAGAGUGGGGGAUAACGACCCGAAAGGGUCGCUAAUACCGCAUAACAUCCUGCCUUUGGAUAGGUGGAGAUCAAAGUUGGGGAUCCGCAAGGACCUGACGCUUGGAGAGGAGCCCGCGGCCGAUUAGCUAGUUGGUGAGGUAACGGUCACCAAGGCAACGAUCGGUAUCCGGCCUGAGAGGGCGGACGGACACACUGGGACUGAGACACGGGCCAGAACUCCUACGGGAGGCAGCAGUGGGGGAAUUGUCCCGCAUUGGGGCGCAAGCCUGGACGACGCAACGCCGCGUGGAGGACGAAGAUUUCGGAUCGUAAACUCCUUUCGAUCGGGAAGAACAGCUUUUGGGUUAAUAGCCUGAGAGUCUGACGGUACCGAGAGAAGAAGCCCCGGCUAACUCUGUGCCAGCAGCCGCGGUAAUACAGGGGGGGCAAGCGUUGUUCGGAAUUACUGGGCGUAAAGGGGUAGUAGGCGGCCAACUAAGUCCGACGUGAAAUCCCAAGGCUUAACCUUGGAACUGCGUCGGAUACUGGAUGGCUUGAAUUCGGGAGAGGGAUGCAGAAUUCCAGGUGUAAGCGGUGAAAUGCGUAGAUAUCUGGAGGAAUACCGGUGGCGAAGGCGGAUCCUGGACCGACUUGACGCUGAAUACCGGAAAAGCUAAGGGGGAGCAAA
This 735-nucleotide ribosomal RNA is filed under the name uncultured bacterium. Its description in RNAcentral is "bacterial SSU rRNA". It matches the Rfam family "Bacterial small subunit ribosomal RNA", at positions 66 to 772 of the family's 1533-position model. The record is from RNAcentral.